GGGUAGGGCCCGGGGAAGUUCGGUGGAUCUGGGUCUCUAUUUUCAAGACACCAGGAUCUGUCAUUGAGUGAAAAGAUCAUGGAUACAGACGAACAAGGAGCCCCAGGUAGGAAGCCACUAGACCGUCCACAGACUCCAGAUGAACUGAAAUUUUACGCUCGGAAUUAUGUCAUGCUGGCUCUCUUGGCGAUGAUUCUUUUCCUACCCUUUGGGAUAUUAGCCAUAUACUUCAGCAUCCAGACCAACGAAGCCAAUAAAUGCAGCAACUGGGAAGACGCCUACCGGAACUCAUCUCGAACUAUGUGGUUUAAUAUGUUGGCCAUAGUAGCCUUUGUAGGCAUCAUUUAUAUACUUGUCCUAGUCCUAUGAAAGCUACACAUCAGCAUCUACGGGCUCCUCCCCCAACAGACAUGCUCACUUAGACUUUGACCAGCCAUCAAGAAGAAACUCAGAGCUUCAGAAAUGCCCUUGCCAAGAAACCCACCAACCAAAAAACUCAACAUCCAAAAAACGGCCCCAGGCAGGCCACCUGACUACACUCCACCAGUUCAUUCUCAUUUGUCUUCCACGGCUGUCUAAAAGCAUCUUGGAAGUCCACAUCUCAAGUUCUAAAUCUGCAUAAGCCACUGAGCUGCUCUUUCAUGAAAAAAAAAAAAAUCACAUUUCUGAGCCCAAUAAAAUUGAAGGGAAUAUCCCGGC
Long non-coding RNA from Mus musculus (house mouse), 699 nucleotides. RefSeq annotates it as PMIS2 transmembrane protein. The record is from RefSeq and is marked validated. The transcript is spliced from 2 exons. NCBI's taxonomy places the organism in Eukaryota, Metazoa, Chordata, Mammalia, Rodentia, Muridae.